This is a long non-coding RNA of Talpa occidentalis (Iberian mole), 2553 nucleotides long. RefSeq lists it as uncharacterized. Lineage: Eukaryota; Metazoa; Chordata; Mammalia; Eulipotyphla; Talpidae. The transcript is spliced from 3 exons. The record is from RefSeq and is a predicted model, not a curated record.
CAGAAAACCCUGAGGGGGUGGACUGUAGGGUAAAGAAAAUAUCAGGCUUUUCUGCCCUUCCGCCAUCAGGAUAGAUGAUGGAUCCUUGUCCUGAAUGCAUGCCUGAUGGCGGGCACCUGGAAUAGGGUGUGGGCAUAGGUGGAUGGGAUUCAGCUGAGCUAAGACUGUGCUUUUAAGGGCGGCUUCACGGGGACGCCAGCAGCAGCAGCAGCAGCACCAGUAGCAGCAGUAGAAGCCGAAGCUGAGAAGCAGCAGAACGAACUCCAGAGAGCCCAGAUAGAGUGAAGACCAGCCAGCACCCCUGCCUGCCAUAUGCCUGGUGAACCCCAAUAAAAGACCUGCAAAAAACCACUGAGGACUCUGACUCCUCCUUUACCCGGUCUGCAUGGGAUCAGAAAACCUGCAUUGUGGCCAGCCUGGCCUCUACAGGGAGUAAUUGACAACUGGAAGAAAAACAAGGUUCUCAGUCCUACAACCUCAAACAACUGAAUCCUGCCAACACCCAAAUAAGUGAGACAUUCCCAAAGGAACAGAGGUCUGCUGACACCUUGGCUUUAGUGGAGUGAUACCUGUGUUGGACAUCUUAACCUCCAAAACUGAAGAAUCUUCAUAAAAAUAGGAGAAUGAAGAUGAAAUAAUUCAUUUCAAAGUGCCUUUACAACUUCAGCUAAUCAGUCAUUUUGAAAUGCAAUUAGCAAUUAAAAAGGACAGCAAAAACUGACAAUAUAUAUUAUUAAAAAACAUGGAAAAACUAAGCAUGUGUUUUCAUGCUGCAACUUCAGUAGCAAGUUCACAGCAGUAAUUACAGGUUUCAUGUUAUCAAGAGAUGGGAUCCAAAUGUCUGUUGUCAACUCCUAAAUCAGCAAGUUAUGGCCAGAAAGGUACUACAACAUAGAUAUAUGUUGCUGAAGACUCACCUCCUCACAGAGAACAUUCUGAGGAAGAAAGAUCAUGUCAAUAACAAGCCAAUGCAAAAGCAUCUACUAAAAGGAAUAUUCUUGGUAAAGAUAAAACAUAAAUAGCAGGAUACUCUAUAAAGUAAUAUUUUAUAUCAGUUCAGUGAACUAAAGUAUCAACUAGCAAAUUUCAUACUUCAGCACAAAACUAAACUAUUUCAGUCAUAAAUGACAGCUGUUCUCUUCAGAAAAGAAUGAUCAGGCAAAAACCAUCAAAGAUACAAAGUUUGUAACUACUGAAUAGAAUAUACAAGAUUUCAGAGAAAAUACAGUAAUGCUGAAGCAGUCUCCAUGCCUUUCCCUUUAUCACAGAAUUCAGAAAGCCAAUAGACCUAGAAAUGAGAGAACAUAGGAAAUACGUUUAUAUAGAACCUUUCUAUCACAAACCCUCAGGUCACAGACAGAAUGUGAAUGUGUGGAGGGGAGAGAGAGGGAAAAUGUGGCAAGCAGAGUUUUCCAAGUUAUUAGAAGAAUUGGGACUAAAUGUACCUGUGGUUUGUUCCUUGUCUGCAACUCAGAAGAAAGGUAGCCACACAUAUAUUCUCAGUGUAAAGGAAUCAAUAAAGACAUAGCUCAGCAGUGGGUGACCAAAAUGAUGGUUAAGAAGGGGUUUUAAAUUUUUUUAAAUACACAGUCUCUGAGAGGCAAAAUUUAAGGAGGCAGAGAGGGUCUGAAGUCCCCAUGUGCCUCAGCAAGAGACAGACAACAUGGCUAAGAGUAAGCUCUGCUGGCCUCAAAGUGGAGCAACAUGGGGGCAAGGAAUGUUUCUCGAGGAUGACAUAAAGUCACCCCGUACAAGCUGAUAUGCAGGGAAUCACAAGCAGGCAUCAAAUAGGAGAUGCAACAGGACAUCAAGGGAUUAGCUCUAACAAACGCCAGGAUGGAAUUGAAUCAACAGGAAAAUGCUGCAAAGCCUUGCUGGAGCAAUCACCUCAGAUGGUCUGUGCCAAAAAAAAUAGAGCUAUAUUUUUAUCAGUACAAGCACAGACCAGUUGCAUCCCUCUGCAAUGGUGUUAAACUUUACCCGAAUCUAGCCCUAAUCCCAAUACAUAGGGCAAGUGGACCAGCUCCUUGAACUGACUAAAUGUUAAAUUGAAAUGACUGAUAAAUCACUGGAAUUAAGCUAAUUUGGCUGGAAGCAUCCAGAUUAAAGUUUUAGUUUCAAACUGACUGGAGGUAAGAGUCAGACAUUUAAAUCAAUGUUAAAAAUAAAAUUAACAACAACAACAACAAAAAAUUUAUGGAAACUUGUAAUAGUAUCCCUUUUCCUUUAUAUUUUAAUUUGGAGUAAAUAGCAGAAGUGACAGUGGAUAUGUUUAAUUUAAUUUUUUUUUUUACUGCAAUAAAGGCAAAACUAUCUUGCAAACUAGAAUUCAUACCAUUAUAAAUACAUUUUGAUUAUAUAUAUAUAGGCAGGAGGAAACAGUUUAGAGAAUAAAAUUAUGAACAGAGAACAUGGUAGAAAAUAAAUGUUUGAGACGGGUAUUAAGUAAUUUGUUUUUUAUCAGGCAAAUCAUUAGAAAAUAGUGAGAGAAAACAGUGUGAUUAAAAGUGUCAAAGUGUUGUGGUCUGUGUGUGUCUGUGUGUAAUUAUGUGC